This 208-nucleotide non-coding RNA is filed under the name Clostridia bacterium. Its description in RNAcentral is "6S RNA". It matches the Rfam family "6S / SsrS RNA". From Rfam's summary of the family: E. coli 6S RNA was the first non coding RNA to be sequenced, but its function was unknown until recently. It consists of 184 nucleotides that fold into an extended hairpin structure with a large single-stranded internal bulge. Lineage: Bacteria; Bacillati; Bacillota; Clostridia. The record is from RNAcentral.
UUUUUCCUGCGCUUUUCGUGAUCGUGCUAUUUGGACCGACACACAAAGCUAGGGAGUCCCACCUUCUACCGAGAUAGAGCAGGCCUCCCGCCGUGGGCUGUCUUUGUACCCCCACCAAGCGGACGUUGGAAGCACGAGUCCGGCAGAGAGGACACCCACCUGAAAAUCAGGGUUAAAUUUCGUACGACACGGUCGUCGCGGGGGUGUC